GUGAAAAGCUGAGAGGUGAAGACAACUGGUUUUCGCUCUCAAAGUUACCUUGAGCGCGGAUAAAUGUUCUCAGUGUGACCAGAGCCGCUUUGCAAUGCAGACAAGAGUCGUUUUUAUCCUCCUCUUUGCAAUCAUCGCCUUUUUUGCUGAUACCGUAUUGUGUCAGCGGAAUAACAAAAAACCUACUGGUGGCAACCGUCCCCAUCCAGUGUACGCAGCUGAUGCUCCAUCACGUGCGCCUGUAGCUAAUUGCAGACCUGGAUUUGCGUGGUACCAUGGAAGAUGCCGGUCUACAUACGGAUAAAAUCAUAAAAUCCAUGAAAUCUGCUUAAAUUAAUUAAACUGAAACUUCUAUUUUUUUUUUCUGUAAGUUGAACAUUUAAAUUUUGCUUUUUGUUCAUUUUGAAACAUUAACACAUUUCUAGAUGGAAUAAAUACCAAUAAAAAUAUUGCAAAUAAAUGCCUA
Neocloeon triangulifer is the source of this 466-nucleotide long non-coding RNA. RefSeq lists it as uncharacterized. The record is from RefSeq and is a predicted model, not a curated record. The transcript is spliced from 3 exons. NCBI's taxonomy places the organism in Eukaryota, Metazoa, Arthropoda, Insecta, Ephemeroptera, Baetidae.